CACAGAACUGUUACGCUUCGCAGAGAGCCCGUUGGUGGCUUGGGCCUGAGUAUAAAGGGAGGUGCCGAGCACAGGGUCCCUGUCGUCAUAUCGAGGAUAUUCAGAGGCCACGCAGCUGACCAGACAGGGAUGUUGUUCGUAGGAGAUGCCGUGCUGCAGGUUAACGGCAUUAACGUAGAAGAUGCAACCCAUGAAGAAGUGGUG
Molecule: non-coding RNA, 204 nt
Organism: Leptonychotes weddellii (Weddell seal)
Lineage: Eukaryota; Metazoa; Chordata; Mammalia; Carnivora; Phocidae
Source: RefSeq, a predicted model, not a curated record